RNAcentral lists this long non-coding RNA (1119 nucleotides) under Oryzias sinensis (Chinese medaka). Its description in RNAcentral is "lncRNA (ENSOSIG00000010437.1)". The record is from RNAcentral. Lineage: Eukaryota; Metazoa; Chordata; Actinopteri; Beloniformes; Adrianichthyidae.
GUUCGUGUUGCCAACAACACCUCCAGCACCAUCACAAUGAACACAGGGGUCCCCCAAGGAUGUGUGCUGAGCCCCCUUCUCUUCAAUCUGCUGACUCACGACUGCACCCCAACAUCAAGCUCCAACCUCUUCAUCAAGUUUGCGGAUGACACAACAGUGGUGAGUCUCAUCAACAACGGCGAUGAGACCACCAACAGAAGCGACGUGAACAGACUGGCUCUGUGGUGCAAAGACAACAAUCUCCAACUGAAUGUGGAGAAGACAAAGGAGAUGUUUGUGGACUUCAGGAGAACUCACACCCAGCACGCUCCACUGAUCAUCAAUGGUGCUGCUGUGGAAAGGGUGAGCUGCACCAAGUUCCUGGGGGUGCACAUCUCCGACGACCUGUCUUUGGACCUCAACACUGCGUCGCUGGCCAAGAAAACCCAACAACGCCUCGGCAAAUUGAAGAGGGCCACAUAUCCUCCCCCCAUCAUGCAGACCUUCUACAGGGGCGCCAUCAAGAGCAUCCUGACCAGCUGCAUCACCGUGUGGUACGGAGCCUGCACCGCGUCCUGCCGGAAGACUCUGCAGCACAUUGUAAAAACAGCUGAGAAGAUCAUCGGUGUCCCUCUCACUGGCCUCUCGGACAUUUAUCCUUCAGGCUUCACCCGCAAAGCCAUCAGGAUUGCAGGGGCCCCUCACACCCAUCCCAGAGUCACUUCCUCCUGCUGCCAUCAGGGAGGAGGCUGCAAAGUUUCCAGGACAGAACCAGCAGAUUCAAGGACAGUUUCCUCCAUCAGGCGAUAAGGAAACUCAACUCCCUCCCUACCCUAUCCCCUCUGCCCCCUCCACUCCCUGCAACAAACUAACACUGAAAAACUUUCACACCUGUUCAGAACAUAAUCUUCACCAAAGACUGCCAUCAUUGGCUCAUCUACCUACAGUUCUUAGCACUGUUGACACUUUAAACUGCCGCUUUAACCAUCUCAUUGUCCUUUUGCACUGUUAAGAUUGCUGUUAUUCUUCCUAAUAUUACUGUUAUUUUAUCUAUUUUAUUGUAUUAGUUUUAUGAGCUGCUUAGACUGUGGCGAGAGGAAAGUAAUUCCAUCUGUGCUGUAUGUCUUGUGUUUGUAGCAU